AACGCUAGCUACAGGCUUAACACAUGCAAGUCGAGGGGCAGCAUGGUCUUAGCUUGCUAAGGCCGAUGGCGACCGGCGCACGGGUGAGUAACACGUAUCCAACCUGCCGUCUACUCUUGGACAGCCUUCUGAAAGGAAGAUUAAUACAAGAUGGCAUCAUGAGUUCACAUGUUCACAUGAUUAAAGGUAUUCCGGUAGACGAUGGGGAUGCGUUCCAUUAGAUAGUAGGCGGGGUAACGGCCCACCUAGUCUUCGAUGGAUAGGGGUUCUGAGAGGAAGGUCCCCCACAUUGGAACUGAGACACGGUCCAGACUCCUACGGGAGGCAGCAGUGAGGAAUAUUGGUCAAUGGGCGCAGGCCUGAACCAGCCAAGUAGCGUGAAGGAUGACUGCCCUAUGGGUUGUAAACUUCUUUUAUAAAGGAAUAAAGUCGGGUAUGUAUACCCGUUUGUAUGUACUUUAUGAAUAAGGAUCGGCUAACUCCGUGCCAGCAGCCGCGGUAAUACGGAGGAUCCGAGCGUUAUCCGGAUUUAUUGGGUUUAAAGGGAGCGUAGAUGGAUGUUUAAGUCAGUUGUGAAAGUUUGCGGCUCAACCGUAAAAUUGCAGUUGAUACUGGAUAUCUUGAGUGCAGAUGAGGCAGGCGGAAUUCGUGGUGUAGCGGUGAAAUGCUUAGAUAUCACGAAGAACUCCGAUUG
Molecule: ribosomal RNA, 694 nt
Filed under: uncultured Bacteroides sp.
Lineage: Bacteria; Pseudomonadati; Bacteroidota; Bacteroidia; Bacteroidales; Bacteroidaceae
Description: bacterial SSU rRNA
Rfam family: Bacterial small subunit ribosomal RNA
Source: RNAcentral